GAUGAAGAACGUAGCGAAAUGUGAUAAGUAGUGUGAAUUGCAGAAUUCAGUGAAUCAUCGAAUCUUUGAACGCACAUUGCGCCCCUUGGUAUUCCAUGGGGCAUGCCUGUUCGAGCGUCAUUUGUACCUUCAAGCUCUGCUUGGUGUUGGGUGUUUGUCUCGCCUCUGCGUGUAGACUCGCCUCAAAACAAUUGGCAGCCGGCGUAUUGAUUUCGGAGCGCAGUACAUCUCGCGCUUUGCACUCAUAACGACGACGUCCAAAAGUACAUUUUUACACUCUUGACCUCGGAUCAGGGAGGGAUACCCGCUGAACUUAAGCAUAUCAAUAAGCGGAGGA
Molecule: unclassified non-coding RNA, 337 nt
Filed under: soil metagenome
Description: partial contains 5.8S ribosomal RNA, internal transcribed spacer 2, and large subunit ribosomal RNA
Rfam family: 5.8S ribosomal RNA (bases 1-120)
Source: RNAcentral